RNAcentral lists this small nucleolar RNA (95 nucleotides) under Ochotona princeps (American pika). Its description in RNAcentral is "Small nucleolar RNA SNORA74 (ENSOPRG00000024232.1)". Lineage: Eukaryota; Metazoa; Chordata; Mammalia; Lagomorpha; Ochotonidae. The record is from RNAcentral.
CCCAGCUGUAGGCAACUGCCUAGGUUGUCUUGUACCUAGACAAGUGUUUGACUGCUGGGAGAAAGGCAACUAGUAGCUGGUGAGGAUUCUAGAUA